Long non-coding RNA from Drosophila innubila, 113 nucleotides. RefSeq lists it as uncharacterized. The record is from RefSeq and is a predicted model, not a curated record. Lineage: Eukaryota; Metazoa; Arthropoda; Insecta; Diptera; Drosophilidae. The transcript has 2 exons.
CGGCGUCAAGGCAGGAAGGAAGCAAAUGAGUGCGGAGGUCUGCGGUCGGUUUCUACAAGUUCUUAAUUAGCAUUUAGCGUUUCAAUUCAUUAUCUAUAAAUUGAACUUGUUUA